AUGACAAGUGGCAGACUUCUCUCAGUCAAAUGGGAGGAGUUCAUGGAACUAUUGGGUGUUGAAGAUCAAGGGCUUGACAACCCGGUUGGCUUUCAUCCUCACAAGAAUUCUACCUCUACUCACCAGUCAGCUCUUUGGCAAUACAUCAUAGUGAAGAUUCACCCCGACACGCAGAAGAAGACAUACGAGAUGUUUCCUUUUCUGGAUAUCCUUCAUUGCAUCUUCAAAAACACCAUAUUCCCUCGCAUUGGGAACUUGGAUAUGGUUCACUCGUACCUCGUGGAUUUUUUACAGUUUUGUCGGCAUGAGAAGGAUAACAACAUAGGAGAGACCUUGGAUAUUUGA
This 345-nucleotide ribosomal RNA is filed under the name Triticum aestivum (bread wheat). Its description in RNAcentral is "partial small subunit ribosomal RNA". Lineage: Eukaryota; Viridiplantae; Streptophyta; Magnoliopsida; Poales; Poaceae. The record is from RNAcentral.